This 255-nucleotide ribosomal RNA is filed under the name uncultured bacterium. RNAcentral's name for it is "partial 16S ribosomal RNA". It matches the Rfam family "Bacterial small subunit ribosomal RNA", at positions 524 to 777 of the family's 1533-position model. The record is from RNAcentral.
UACGAAGGGGGCUAGCGUUGUUCGGAAUCACUGGGCGUAAAGCGCACGUAGGCGGAUCUUUAAGUCAGAGGUGGAAAUCCCAAGGCUCAACCUUGGAACUGCCUUUGAUACUGGGGAUCUUGAGUCCGGGAGAGGUGAGUGGAACUGCGAGUGUAGAGGUGAAAUUCGUAGAUAUUCGCAAGAACACCAGUGGCGAAGGCGGCUCACUGGCCCGGUACUGACGCUGAGGUGGCGAAAGCGUGGGAGCAAACAGGG